Aspergillus sclerotiicarbonarius CBS 121057 is the source of this 158-nucleotide non-coding RNA. The record is from the annotation of a GenBank genome assembly. NCBI's taxonomy places the organism in Eukaryota, Fungi, Ascomycota, Eurotiomycetes, Eurotiales, Aspergillaceae.
GGCAAGGUGGUCGAGUGGUCUAAGACGUAAGACUGUAUGUUGGCCCCACACACACAUCAUUACCUGGAAAAUCUGUCAUACUAAUUUCUCUCAGUGAAUCCUUAAAUGGACGGUAUCUUAUUCCUUCGGGAGCGCGAGUUCGAACCUCGUCCUUGUCG